CCUACGGGUGGCAGCAGUGAGGAAUAUUGGUCAAUGGGCGCGAGCCUGAACCAGCCAAGUAGCGUGAAGGAUGACUGCCCUACGGGUUGUAAACUUCUUUUAUAAAGGAAUAAAGUGUGGCACGUGUGCCUUUUUGUAUGUACUUUAUGAACAAGGAUCGGCUAACUCCGUGCCAGCAGCCGCGGUAAUACGGAGGAUCCGAGCGUUAUCCGGAUUUAUUGGGUUUAAAGGGAGCGUAGAUGGGCUGUUAAGUCAGUUGUGAAAGUUUGCGGCUCAACCGUAAAAUUGCAAUUGAUACUGGCAGCCUUGAGUACAGUAGAGGUAGGCGGAAUUCGUGGUGUAGCGGUGAAAUGCUUAGAUAUCACGAAGAACUCCGAUUGCGAAGGCAGCUUACUAGACUGCCACUGACGUUGAUGCUCGAAAGUGUGGGUAUCAAACAGGAUUAGAUACCCCAGUAGUC
This 460-nucleotide ribosomal RNA is filed under the name uncultured bacterium. Its description in RNAcentral is "partial 16S ribosomal RNA". It matches the Rfam family "Bacterial small subunit ribosomal RNA", at positions 338 to 795 of the family's 1533-position model. The record is from RNAcentral.